Molecule: ribosomal RNA, 499 nt
Filed under: Phyllium sp. 10 SB-2021
Lineage: Eukaryota; Metazoa; Arthropoda; Insecta; Phasmatodea; Phylliidae
Description: partial large subunit ribosomal RNA
Source: RNAcentral
GGGAGAAUCCUGAAUUCGAAAGGGGUUGGAUUCAGAUCCUACCGAUCGCAUACUAGGCAGCCCCACCGCGGAUGGUGCCGGUCGCCCGCGGCGAUUAAUUUCGUUUGCGGUGCCGUUUCUGGCGUCCACUCGGUGGUUAGCUGACCGCAAUCUCGGAGGUUCGCACUUCUCCCCUAGUAGAAACGUCGCGACCCGUUGGGUGCCGGCCGAAGGCCCGGGAAGGAAGCCCGCGCGUCCUGUGGUGGUUGCCACAGGCGUGCGGACUCCUGGUGACCCGGCCGGCUGCCCGACGGUAUGACCAGAGGAGCCGAUCCGCUGAAUGGGAAACACUGUGGUUUGUGAAGCGUGCGGCCUGGCGCCGACACGUGCGGGGAUUGAGGUGUAAACCGGGGGUGUCCGUGCGAAGCACGGUCCCGGCCCCGCUGCGUGUUCGGUUGCCGGUGUCCUCGCACUGGAUCGAUACUCCCGUCUGCGACGCCCAUCUUCGGAUGGUCUCCCG